UUGCUCGCUUCAGCAGCACAUAUACUAAAAUUGGAAUGAUACAGAGAAGAUUAGCAUGGCCCCUGUGCAAGGAUGACAUGCAAAUUCGUGAAGCGUUCCAUAUUUAA
RNAcentral lists this small nuclear RNA (107 nucleotides) under Octodon degus (degu). The record is from RNAcentral. Lineage: Eukaryota; Metazoa; Chordata; Mammalia; Rodentia; Octodontidae.